GAUGAACGCUGGCGGCGUGCUUAACACAUGCAAGUCGAACGGCAAGGCCCUGCUUUUGUGGGGUGCCCGAGUGGGGAACGGGUGAGUAUCACGUGUGUAACCUGCUCUUGUCUUUGGGAUAACUUCAGGAAACUGGGGCUAAUAUCGUAUAGGAGCUCCUGCUGCAUGGAGGGGGUUGGAACGUUUCGGCGGUUGGGGAUGGACUGGCGGCUUAUCAGCUUGUUAGUGGGGUAGGGGCUUACCAAGGCUUUGACGGAUAGCCGGCCUGCGAGCGUGACCGGCGACAUUGGGACUGAGGUACGGCCCAGACGCCUACGUGAGGCAGCAGUGGGGAAUAUUGCACAAUGGGCGGAAGCCUGAGACGGCAGCGCCGCGUGCGUGAUGACGUCCUUCGGGGUGUAAACCGCUUUCGCCUGUGACGAAGCGUGAGUGACGGUAAUGAGUAAAGAAGCACCGGCUAACUACGUG
This 468-nucleotide ribosomal RNA is filed under the name uncultured bacterium. RNAcentral's name for it is "partial 16S ribosomal RNA". It matches the Rfam family "Bacterial small subunit ribosomal RNA", at positions 28 to 507 of the family's 1533-position model. The record is from RNAcentral.